RNAcentral lists this ribosomal RNA (253 nucleotides) under uncultured bacterium. RNAcentral describes it as "partial 16S ribosomal RNA". It matches the Rfam family "Bacterial small subunit ribosomal RNA", at positions 524 to 776 of the family's 1533-position model. The record is from RNAcentral.
UACGUAGGGGGCAAGCGUUGUCCGGAUUUAUUGGGCGUAAAGAGCGUGUAGGCGGCCAGGGAGGUCCGUUGUGAAAACUCGAGGCUCAACCUCGAGACGCCGACGGAAACCCCCUGGCUAGAGUCCGGAAGAGGAGAGUGGAAUUCCUGGUGUAGCGGUGAAAUGCGCAGAUAUCAGGAAGAACACCCGUGGCGAAGGCGGCUCUCUGGGACGGUACUGACGCUGAGACGCGAAAGCGUGGGGAGCGAACAGG